GAUUUCUGGUAUGGCGCACUUGGCCCGCCGAGGUUACUCGGUUCGUGUGCCGGUGUGCGCCUUCCAUCCUUCUGGCUCAACGGCUCUACCCUUCACUGGGUGGGAGUCGCUAACCAGAUCAUUUACUUUGAAAAAAUUAGAGUGUUUAAAGCAGGCUUGCGCUAUGAAUACAUUAGCAUGGAAUAAUAAUUUAGGACUUUGGUCUUAUUUUGUUGGUUUCUAGGACUAAAGUAAUGAUUGAUAGGGAUAGUUGGGGGUGCUAGUAUUCAGCGGCCAGAGGUGAAAUUCUUGGAUUCGCUGAAGACUAACUUAUGCGAAAGCAUU
RNAcentral lists this ribosomal RNA (324 nucleotides) under uncultured Cercomonas. RNAcentral's name for it is "SSU rRNA". The stretch from base 107 to 324 matches the Rfam family "Eukaryotic small subunit ribosomal RNA", at positions 736 to 955 of the family's 1831-position model. The record is from RNAcentral. Lineage: Eukaryota; Cercozoa; Cercomonadida; Cercomonadidae.